CCACAGCUACUUAAUCCCACUUCACUUAUCAUCUCUCUGAUGGAAGCUCAGCAUACAGUGACUGCCAAAGCAGAUUCCCUGGUUAUGUAUACAACUCAUUCCUGGUUUCUGUUGUUUGUGUUGCUCUAAGGGACCUUGAGUACAUCA
Spermophilus dauricus (Daurian ground squirrel) is the source of this 147-nucleotide small nucleolar RNA. Its record names the gene SNORA70. It matches the Rfam family "Small nucleolar RNA SNORA70". Rfam says of the family: snoRNA U70 seems to be exclusive to mammals and is a member of the H/ACA class of snoRNA which contain H (ANANNA) and ACA box motifs. H/ACA box snoRNAs are involved in the conversion of uridines to pseudouridines (5-ribosyluracil) a constituent of structural RNAs (transfer, ribosomal, small nuclear, and small nucleolar). The record is from Ensembl. Lineage: Eukaryota; Metazoa; Chordata; Mammalia; Rodentia; Sciuridae.